AUAAUGGGUCAGCGACUUAUAUUCUGUAGCAAGGUUAACCGAAUAGGGGAGCCGAAGGGAAACCGAGUCUUAACUGGGCGUUAAGUUGCAGGGUAUAGACCCGAAACCCGGUGAUCUAGCCAUGGGCAGGUUGAAGGUUGGGUAACACUAACUGGAGGACCGAACCGACUAAUGUUGAAAAAUUAGCGGAUGACUUGUGGCUGGGGGUGAAAGGCCAAUCAAACCGGGAGAUAGCUGGUUCUCCCCGAAAGCUAUUUAGGUAGCGCCUCGUGAAUUCAUCUCCGGGGGUAGAGCACUGUUUCGGCAAGGGGGUCAUCCCGACUUACCAACCCGAUGCAAACUGCGAAUACCGGAGAAUGUUAUCACGGGAGACACACGGCGGGUGCUAACGUCCGUCGUGAAGAGGGAAACAACCCAGACCGCCAGCUAAGGUCCCAAAGUCAUGGUUAAGUGGGAAACGAUGUGGGAAGGCCCAGACAGCCAGGAUGUUGGCUUAGAAGCAGCCAUCAUUUAAAGAAAGCGUAAUAGCUCACUGGUCGAGUCGGCCUGCGCGGAAGAUGUAACGGGGCUAAACCAUGCACCGAAGCUGCGGCAGCGACGCUUAUGCGUUGUUGGGUAGGGGAGCGUUCUGUAAGCCUGUGAAGGUGUACUGUGAGGUAUGCUGGAGGUAUCAGAAGUGCGAAUGCUGACAUAAGUAACGAUAAAGCGGGUGAAAAGCCCGCUCGCCGGAAGACCAAGGGUUCCUGUCCAACGUUAAUCGGGGCAGGGUGAGUCGACCCCUAAGGCGAGGCCGAAAGGCGUAGUCGAUGGGAAACAGGUUAAUAUUCCUGUACUUGGUGUUACUGCGAAGGGGGGACGGAGAAGGCUAUGUUGGCCGGGCGACGGUUGUCCCGGUUUAAGCGUGUAGGCUGGUUUUCCAGGCAAAUCCGGAAAAUCAAGGCUGAGGCGUGAUGACGAGGCACUACGGUGCUGAAGCAACAAAUGCCCUGCUUCCAGGAAAAGCCUCUAAGCAUCAGGUAACAUCAAAUCGUACCCCAAACCGACACAGGUGGUCAGGUAGAGAAUACCAAGGCGCUUGAGAGAACUCGGGUGAAGGAACUAGGCAAAAUGGUGCCGUAACUUCGGGAGAAGGCACGCUGAUAUGUAGGUGAAGUCCCUCGCGGAUGGAGCUGAAAUCAGUCGAAGAUACCAGCUGGCUGCAACUGUUUAUUAAAAACACAGCACUGUGCAAACACGAAAGUGGACGUAUACGGUGUGACGCCUGCCCGGUGCCGGAAGGUUAAUUGAUGGGGUUAGCGCAAGCGAAGCUCUUGAUCGAAGCCCCGGUAAACGGCGGCCGUAACUAUAACGGUCCUAAGGUAGCGAAAUUCCUUGUCGGGUAAGUUCCGACCUGCACGAAUGGCGUAAUGAUGGCCAGGCUGUCUCCACCCGAGACUCAGUGAAAUUGAACUCGCUGUGAAGAUGCAGUGUACCCGCGGCAAGACGGAAAGACCCCGUGAACCUUUACUAUAGCUUGACACUGAACAUUGAGCCUUGAUGUGUAGGAUAGGUGGGAGGCUUUGAAGUGUGGACGCCAGUCUGCAUGGAGCCGACCUUGAAAUACCACCCUUUAAUGUUUGAUGUUCUAACGUUGACCCGUAAUCCGGGUUGCGGACAGUGUCUGGUGGGUAGUUUGACUGGGGCGGUCUCCUCCUAAAGAGUAACGGAGGAGCACGAAGGUUGGCUAAUCCUGGUCGGACAUCAGGAGGUUAGUGCAAUGGCAUAAGCCAGCUUGACUGCGAGCGUGACGGCGCGAGCAGGUGCGAAAGCAGGUCAUAGUGAUCCGGUGGUUCUGAAUGGAAGGGCCAUCGCUCAACGGAUAAAAGGUACUCCGGGGAUAACAGGCUGAUACCGCCCAAGAGUUCAUAUCGACGGCGGUGUUUGGCACCUCGAUGUCGGCUCAUCACAUCCUGGGGCUGAAGUAGGUCCCAAGGGUAUGGCUGUUCGCCAUUUAAAGUGGUACGCGAGCUGGGUUUAGAACGUCGUGAGACAGUUCGGUCCCUAUCUGCCGUGGGCGCUGGAGAACUGAGGGGGGCUGCUCCUAGUACGAGAGGACCGGAGUGGACGCAUCACUGGUGUUCGGGUUGUCAUGCCAAUGGCACUGCCCGGUAGCUAAAUGCGGAAGAGAUAAGUGCUGAAAGCAUCUAAGCACGAAACUUGCCCCGAGAUGAGUUCUCCCUGACUCCUUGAGAGUCCUGAAGGAACGUUGAAGACGACGACGUUGAUAGGCCGGGUGUGUAAGCGCAGCGAUGCGUUGAGCUAACCGGUACUAAUGAACCGUGAGGCUUAACCUUACAACGCCGAAGGUGUUU
This 2351-nucleotide ribosomal RNA is filed under the name Escherichia coli. RNAcentral's name for it is "partial 23S ribosomal RNA". It matches the Rfam family "Bacterial large subunit ribosomal RNA", at positions 612 to 2925 of the family's 2925-position model. The record is from RNAcentral. Lineage: Bacteria; Pseudomonadati; Pseudomonadota; Gammaproteobacteria; Enterobacterales; Enterobacteriaceae.